RNAcentral lists this long non-coding RNA (11440 nucleotides) under Homo sapiens (human). Its description in RNAcentral is "HSALNT0282593". The record is from RNAcentral. Lineage: Eukaryota; Metazoa; Chordata; Mammalia; Primates; Hominidae.
UGCCCUUAUAGAACUGACAGGCUGUUACAUAGGGAAAGAACCAAACACCACAAUAUACACCCUUCAAAGCCUUCAACUUACCAGGCUCAUUUACAAUGGCUCCAACGUGUGGGUAUGGAAGAGGUGUCAGGCAGGGGCCUGCUUUGGUAUUGUGAAUUGAUUUUUUUGCACCUUCCAAUCUCCUUUAAAGAUGACCCGCUCCCACAUGCUAGUCUCUUAUAAGUCUGUUCAGACAUGUGAGGCACAUACUAAAAUGCUCCCAGGUAUGUGGACAAGGAAAUGUCAGACAUGUAGUCAGGGAAGGAAAAUGAACUACAAAACCAGAACAAUCAUAUAAAAUAAGAAACCAGCUUUGCCAUCAUUCAGGUUAAUUUUAUUGUAUAUUCUUUUGUUUUUUUAAAGGUAAGGUAUCCCCAAAGCCCAGCCCCUCUGUCAUUAACUACCUUGUGUUAUGGCUAAGUUAACAGUAUCUGGAACCAGGCUACUCUAUUCAAAUUUCAGUUUUACCACAUGAGCCUUAAAAAAUGAAUUCACUCUCUGUUUCUCAAUUUCCUCCUCAGUAAAAUGGGGAUAAUAGUACAUACUUCCUAGGGUUUCUGUGAUUUAAAAAAUAUUUAUAAAUGAGUUAAAACAGUAUCCAACUCACAGAACCUUGAUGUUCAAUAAACCAUAAUUAUUAUUCAUUUAGCUAAGGGGCAGGGUAGUCAGUUAUAUCAGACAAAACAAAGUAUUCAUAAACUUAAGAGUAAACAUCCAUGGUUUUUAAGCUUCUCUAUUUCAAUAUAUUGCCAUGUUGCUUCCUUUCCCCUUAGUUUCCAAAUUUUAAAAAAACCUGCUUGGGCCCAAAUCAUGCCUAUCAUUUACUAUCUGUGUGACGUUCAUUAAGUUACUUACCCUCUCUGUUCCUUCACUUAUAAAAAACAUAAUAGCACCUUCAUGAUAAGGUCAUUAUGAGGAUUGAAAAGAUUCAUUCACAUAAUAUCCUUAAAACAGUGCCUUCUAUAAUAGAAAGACUGGAUGGAACUUUAAUCUUCCCAACAAGACCAGCUCCAAGUACUUUUAUUAUCAGCCUCAUUUUGUAGAUAAGGAAACUGAGGCUCAGCAAGGCUAAGUGACUUAUUCAUGGAUAGCAUAUUAGUCCGUUCUUCCACUGCUAUAAAGAAAUAUCUGAGCCUGGGUAAUUUAUACAAAAAGGAGAUUUAAUUGGCUCACAGUUCCACAGGCUGUACAGGAAGCAUGAUGCUGGCCAUCUGCUCGGCUUUUGAGGAGGCCUCAGGAAACUUACAAUCAUGGUAGAAGGGGAAGGUGGAGUGAGCACUUCACAUGGCCAGAGCAGGAGGAAGAGAGGAAGAGGGAGGAGGUGCUACACACUUUCAAACAACCAGAUCUCAUGAGACCUCUGUCAUGAGAAGAGCUCUAGGAGGACGGUGCUAAACCAUUAGAAACUGCACCCAUUAUCAAAUCACCUCCCGCCAGGCCCCACUUCCAGCAUUGGGGAUUACAUUUCGACAUGAGAUUUGGGUGGGGACACAGAUCCAAACCAUAUGAGCUAGUAAAUGAAAGAAGGACACAAGGUUCUAAUCCAGGCCAUGUGAUCCCCAGGACCAUACUCUUUCCCACUCCACUCCACUGACUGGCGUCAGGCUUCUCUUCACGAAUUUCUCUCAGCUCCCCAGUUUGAUUCUGAGCUAAUUGAGGGGAACAACUGUGUCUUAUUUAUCUCUAUAGUUCCAGUGUACCUAGUAGCAUAGUGUUUGGCAAGGAAUAGGUAUCAUAAAUAUCUAUUUAAUAAGAAUCAGCUUCCAACUUAAUUCACAAUUUCACCUUGGAAAUCAAACAGAAACAAACAUGAAUCAUGUUUAUGGAUGAAAUUAGGCAAAGUAGUGUGGCUUGAUCAUCAAUUUCAUUAGUCAUCAGUGGCAGGGUGAUGUGUGCAUAUUCUGGAAUCUGAGAUAAGCUUCUUUUUGUCUUUCUGUCUUUCUUUCAUCAUUCAUUCACUCAACAAACUAUAAUAGUGGUAAAAGUAUGCAUAGCAAGUUGUGGGAGCAUAUAGAAAAGAAUUGAAUGGGUAAGGUGUGGUGGGUAGGGGGUGUGUUGAGGAAGGUUUCUCAGAGAAGGUGUCAUAGUCCCAUUUAGCAGCCACUGCAGAACCAUUUCAAUAAGUGGAUGCAUAACAAAUGGCAGUAAUAAUACCAUUACCUAAAUAAAUAAUGGAAAUAGAAUACAGUUGGCAGGGAUCACUUGAUUUUAGAAUUCUUAGUGAAAGCAUGUUAGAGAAAGGAUCUUUAGGCCUAAGGGCAUGGGAUUUGCCAGAGCUGAAAGUAUAGAUACUUAGUAAGUAGUAAUAGAUGGGGGAAUUAAAAAAGAGUUUAUUUAUUCUUUAUCCCCAGACAUUGCAUGCUUGCUAAGUGCUAGAUGUUUUCUGUGUGUUAUUUCAUUUAAUUCCCAAAGGAAUCAUGUGAGUAUUUCCUUCCAUCUUAUGGUAAUAAUAUUAAAGACAGGAAGGUGAAGUGACUUACAAAUGGUGAAGAUAAUUUCGACUUUAGUUUCAGUGCUCUUUCCAUGAAUACAAGUAGCAAACCCUUACAUAGAGAUUAUUAUGUGUCAAGCAUGUUUCUUUGGGUAUUACAUUUAUUAAGUUGUUUAAUCUUCUUAACACCUCCAAUGAGGUAGAGUCUACAAUUAUAUUAUUUUACAGAUAAUGAAACUGAGACACAAGAAAAUUGAGUAAUUUGCCCUAAAUCACACCACAAAGAAAAUGAUGGAGCCAGAAUUCAGACACGAGUCAUCUGUCUCUUAAAUCAUUUACACUAGGCUGCAUCCGGUAUGUUAGGCCCAGUUAGCUAGGAGACUGCCUUCCUACUUCUACCUGGCCAUUAACACAAACUGUUCCUGCAAUGGUGACUGCCUGGGGUUGGUGGGAUAGAGAGUAGGAAAUGAGAUCUGGGGUCAGCAGAAGAAAUCAGCAUUUCUUACUGCCUCUUUUCUUUCCCUGAUUUAUUUCAAGGUGAGAGAGGUAGAUGUGUGGCAGCGUAGGGGUAUAGAAGCCACAAACUAUUUCCUCAUCCCUGUCUCUGAGUAUAACAAGAGCACUGUCAAUCUUUUUGGAGAUAUCCCAUUACUAACUCCCAAUCCUAUCCUAGAGAAAUGCACAAUUAUCUGUGCUAGAGCCUUAAAUUUCUCUUCAAUUUGCCCUAUUUACUACCUGGGAUGAGUAUCAUGCCAAAGAGGGAAGCCAGAGAGAGUUAACUAGUGAUAAGGGUGUCCCCUUUAAGGAUCAUGGUUAGGUAUCUGUCUUUAACACUAUUAUUAAUAAUCUCAGGAUAUAAUUAUGAUUUUCAGGAACCACAGUUAAGCUGCAGCAGCACACAGGGAUAAUCACACAAAAGGAGGCCUCUCCUAUCUCCAUUGCCAGAAUGGAAAGAAUUGGCAAACUGGUAGCCAUCUCCAGCUUUCCUGGGUGGGUGUGGUUUAAGGAUGCUCUCAAUGUGGUGGGGACAGAAAAGGGUUAGAAUAGGGAUGUUGAGCCUCAGAGAGGAAUAGUCUCAGACUGGGAAACCGGGAGUCUGACUAGGCUAACCACCAUCAGCAAGGACUUCUGGGUAGAGAAGUCUGAACUUGUUUAGAUCCCUGCUUUCUCUUGGUUAAGAAGUAAAGCACAGUCUAGGGGAGGAGAGGCAUGGAACUUUCUAUUUCUGGGCCGCAGGGACCCAACUUAAGGAAUGAAAGAAUAUUCUGGAGGCCCCAUGAGAAUUAUCUAUCCUUCCAGCAACAGACCUUUGAUUUGUCCUAGUAUUAGUUGUCAAAAUCAAGAUCUCCUCUUAUCCUACCCCUUUACUACUCAACUUACCUUUCAUUUCUGUUGCCUUGUUUUUUUUGACAAAGUAGCUGGCUAUCUGUCGUCAACAUUUGUAAUGUCAUUUGAGUGAAUGUGUUUCAGUAACACUUGUUGGUUGGUUUUCAUGGACAGACAAAUAGAGCAGACAGGAGCCUUUAUCAUGGCUCUGGUCCAGACUGUAUUUCCUAAAGGCACUUCUGUCUGACAUGCCAGUACCUCACUGACAUACCACUCAAUGACAUUCAACUCAUCUCAGGUCCCUCCACAUAGUUGGAAUUGAGCUUAUCAUGCCACAGCCCCCACUGAGGUGGCUAGGAUACUCCUGCUUACAGAAAGGCAUACAUCAAUUGAAAUGGGCAACCCUUAAUCCUAUCAUGAUUAAGAAAUGAAGCAUACACAUGAUCCCUCCAAAAUUUUCCAGUUUGCAAGUCAAUACAGACAGUGGUUUGUAUCAAGGCAGAGAAGUAUCAUUCUAAGUGUUUUCUGCAGUUUGACUUUAUUGUAUCUUUAAUUAAAUCAAUGUGGUUGCACCUACUCCCAAUGGAAGUGGUAAAGGACAGUUAGCUCAGAGGAUUUCUGAGGGAAUAAAGGGCUUCUUCAACCUGUAGGCAGAGAAAAGUGCUGGCUGAAACCAAGCCUGCAGCAACUGUUGUGGGAAAUGAAAAAGGGAGAAGGAAGGGGUAAGGAAGGGAGAUAAGAGGUACAUAUGGAGAGGUAAAGGGAGUGGAAUACUGGAUAGCCAAGGCCAGAGAGAAAAUGAAGGAUGCAGCAGCAACUGAUCAAGCCCCAUAUCACAGAACUGAGAUAUCUGGAAAGGUUUUUUUUCCCCUCUGGGAAAUAACUAGGACUGUGAGCAUAUUAAGAUCUUCAUUGAAAUAAUAAAUAUCAGCAGGGAUGUGAAUAAGAGGAAACCCUCAUGCACUCUUGGUGGGAAUGUGGAUUGGUAUAGCCAUUAUGGAAAAACAGUAUGGAGGUUCCUCAAAAAAUUAAAAAUAGAAAUCCCAUAUGAUCCAGCAUUCCCACUUCUGGGUGUUCAUUCAAAAGAAUUGAAAUCAGUAGCUCAAAGAGAUGUCUGUACUCCCAUAUUCAUUGCAGCAUUAUUCACAAUAGCCAAGAUAUGGAAACAACCUACAUGUCCAUCAGUGGAUGAAUGAAUAAACAAAAUGUGUUAUAUGUACACAAUGGAAUACUAUUCAGACACAAAAAAGGAGAUCCUUCCAUUUGCCACAACAGGGAUGGACCUGGAUAACAUUAUGCUAAGUGAAGUAAAGUAGACACGGAAAGAGAAAUAUUGCAUGAUCUCACUUAUAUGCAGAAUCUUUUUAAAAGAGCUCAAAUACACAGAGGUAGAGAAUGAAAUAGUGGUUACUAUGGGCAAGUGUUGGGGGGAAAAGGAAAUGGAGAGAUGUAGGUAAGAGGUUACAAAGUAGCAGAUAUGAAGGAUGAACAAGUCUAGAGAUCUAACCUAUAACAUGAAGACUAAAGUUAAUAAAAUUGUAUUCUAUUAGGAACUUUUGUUAAACAACUAGAUUUUAGCUGCCCUAGUCACAAAAAGUAACUAUAUAUGAUGGUAGAUCUGUUAGUUGGUUUCAAUAUGGUAACCAUUUUACUAUCUAUAUAUAUCCCAUAACAUCAUGUUGUAAACCUCAAAUAUACACAAUAAAAAUUAUUUUAAAAUACAAAUAAAAAAGAACCUCAUUGAGCAGCUCUGUGACUAUAGCUGCUAGAGCUAUGGAGUAGGGAGGGCAAAAGACACAAUCCUGGAUGUUAGAAUGACUUGAAGGGGUCUGGGAUGGAGAGGGAUUGAGAAUAAAGGGGGGAAAUGCAACAAUUUCUAAGAGAAUAGGGAAAAACAUUGAAGGUAGGAUUCAGAUGUUGACAUUCUUUUUGUUGUUCAGUGUCAGAGUCUCACAGGGGAAGAAAGAAUUGCACAGUUCUCAAGGUGAAAGGAAGACACGUGCAGAAUCACUGAGGGGAAGAGAAAACAUCAGUAAACGAUUCAAAUGAUGAUUUGUUGUCAGGAUUAGAUACCCAGUGAUAUAAGUAAAUAUUCGCAUGGAGACUGUGUGGUGGGAACAUUAAUAAUUCAUACAUUGGGAUGCUUCCCAGGGAUCUAUUUGCUAUGAUUCCAAUCUGAGCCUUGACAGAAUUUGAUAUAAGUUGGAGGCUCCAGGGACAGCAGCAUAUUGUAUGGUGUUAGAAAUAAGCCUACAAAGGAGAGAAUCAGAUAAAUUUCAGAACUAAAGAAUCACCUAAUUGAACUAUCUCCUUGACAGAUAAAGACACCAUGGCUCAGAAAGAAGAGACAUUUGUCCAGUAAAUUACUAUGGGACCUGGGCUUUUAGGCCAUGACCACACGCUCAUCCCCAAACAAUUGUUUGCUGGUGCCAUCUGUGUGGGUCCAGGACUGAGGAGAAUUGGGACAAAGAGACACCCAAGCCAAAUGCAAUCUCCCAUCCCCAUAUCCAGGAAUCCGGAAGUGGAGAGAUCCUGAAAUGAGUGAUAAACAAAAGGGAGAAAUGCCUGUAAGAAAGGCUGGGCCAUCAGAGCAAGAUAAAAAUGGGCUCUUCAACUCUUUAUCUGAAUUAAAUGGAAACAGUAUCAAAUCACAUGCAGUCAAAAUAAUGCUCUAGCAUUAUUUAUAAAUCAAAAAGUACUUUUUGAGAUACUUCUAUGUAUUCCAUACUAUGUGAGGCUAUGAGAAAUAUAAAUAAGGCAUGAUAAUUUGCUCCCUCAAAGGAUAUCUCUGUGUCAGUGGGGAAAAAUAGCUCCAGCACAAGUGAUCCCCUUUGUAUGUUCAUGGUUGCAAAACAAUGUCUUAAACCACUUGGGUUACAAAUUUGGAUCACACAUUCAUUCAACAUAUAUAUUUACAGGGUACCUGCUCUGUGUCUGGCAUUGUACAAGAUACUGGGGAUACAACUGUAACCAAGACACAGUCCCUGGUUUUGUCGCAUUCACAGUCUGGUGAGAGACGCAGACAAGUAAACACACAAUUACAGACAUAAGGGAUAAGGGUGAUCAUGGACUGAUCCAUAGAAUACUACUAUAGGAACAUAGAGAAGGGGACACUUUUAUGCCUUCAGUGGGCUGAAAAGGCUCCUGAAAGGAGAUGAUGGUCAACCUAGGGACUGAAGGACAAGUAGGCAAAAAAGAGAGUGAUGAAGGGGAAGGAAGGAUAUUCCUAGCAAAGUGAAUAACAUGUGCAAAGUUUCAAAGACAAGAAAGAAAAAUAUGGAAGUUAUUCAAGAUCAAUUAAGUGCUAAAUUGUGGGUUUGCAAGCAUUAAGUAUAUCACAAGGUCAGAAGCAGGGGGAAGCUAAAAGUUUUUUGUGGAGGAGCAUUGCAAUUUUGACUUUCAAGAAAAUGGAAAAAGAAUGAUUCUGAAAACUAUUGACCAUAGUGUUUGCUGUUAAUCCAGGUCCAUAUUUCCAAAUGUAUUGUUAAUGGACUGGUUUAAAAACAGAUUAUUUUUGCAAAGAAAUAAAACAAAGCAGAGCUCACCAAGUGUUAACCGUGACAGGCUAACUUCAUUUUCUCUAUUUAUGGGCUUACCAACUUAGGGAAAACCUAUAAGCAGAGCAUAUCUGAGUGCCAGGCAGGUCUUUUCUGCUGUCUUUCUCAACAACUGGAGAAAUGAGGCUGGAUGAAAGUAGAAUUUGAUGGAUUCCCAACAGGAUGAAUGCCCAUACCCAAACAUGCAAAUGACAGGAUAUCAAAUAUGAUGGAAAACAGAAUAAGGAGCCACAGAGACUUUUUUCUCAACCAGGCCAUAAAUGCUCUAUAAUUUAUUAUCCAAGCUGGAACCUUUUGAGAAUAACAGGGGGCAUUUUUAACAAUUAUGUCAGAAAAACAAGCAUAAACUAGAACUGUCCCCAGGUAGACCUGGCUCUACAGUCCCCAAUCUAUAAUUAUUUGUUGAAUGAAUGAAGUAACAAGUGCACCAAUGGAUCUCAUCUAAGAACUCCACUCCUCCUUACAGCUGUGUAUGACUAGAGGAAAAUCACACAAGUACGUGUAUAACUACUGAUGGCAGUGGCUGCCGCCAUCACGCCAGCUGCGCAGCUGGGGCUGCACACUCCCUGGAGCUGGCGGGAGCCCCCCCCCUUCUGAGUUGGGACCGGAGCUACCUGGGUGCCCGCUGCAGCUGCCCAAUGCAGCUGUAGACCCCAGCCUCCUGCUCUACAGAAUGGGCAGGAGCCCUGACCUCCUGGUGGGGCUACAGCCUUCCAAACUGCAGCAGUGGAUCUCAGCCUCCAUGUGCUCUUGGGGGAGCCACGAACAGGCAGGAUCUGCCUUCCGGGGUGCAGUUGCAGUGGCUGGACCUGCGGCUGCAAACCUGGGCCUCCCGCUCCAUGAGCCAGGCAGGAGCCGGGGACAAGCCGGAGCCCUGCCUCUUCUGAGUUGGUGGGGUGGGAGCUCCCAGGCGCAGCUGCAGCUUUCCUCACAGGAACUGGGUCUCUCUGCAGCCUGCACCCUUGGGGGCCCCAGGAUGAACUCUCUCCCCACCCCACCCCCAUUUCUGCAGGCUCAGGGUUGUCUGCCUGGUCUCUCUCUACUCUCAGCACCUGCUCCAAUCUCAGAGCGGGGUUGGGGCUGAGCCCCAGGGCAAUGAAUGGCAGUGAGAGGCAAACAGAGUCCUGGGUGGAAAGGAGUGGCGUCCACAGUAAGGCUCCACCCUCAGACCAGGGAGGGCCUGAAGGCUGGGGACUGGGCUGCCAGUCUCGCUGACUGGAGUAGGGGCUCAUGGUGCCUCUUCCCGGCCCACCCAUGGCCACCCAUGGAUCAAUCAGCUGAGCCCUGGGCUCAGCCAGAACAGGGCAGAGGACAGCCAGAGGAUGAAUAGGGCAGAGAGACACUGGGAUGACCAGAUGCAGAGAGGAGUACCCUCUCUGCUGAUCUCUGGAGAGGUGGGACAACCAGCUGCAGAGAGGAGUACCCUCUCCACUGAGAGCUUCAGAGAUGACCUGCUGGCAGAGAGGAGCUACUGUCUCUGCUGAGAGCUUCAGAGAUUUGCAGAGAUGUCCGAACGACUUGCCUGCAGAGAGGAGCCACCCUCUCCAGGGUCUCCUAUCUGCUGAGAGCUGAACACUCAACAGGACGACCUGUCUACAGAGAGGAGCUACCCACUCCUCUGAGCUGUUCUAACACUAAAUAAAACUCUUCGUCUUCUUCUUAUUCUUCACACUUCACUUGUCUGCAUACCUCAUUCAUCCUGGAUGCAGAACAAGAACUCAGGCAAAGGCGCGUCUACCACAGCCCUUGUGGGAUCCAGACCUGUGCUCUUGAUCCCACAUCUUCUGCUUCCUCCAGAACCUUGCUUCCUUGUCUUUUCUCUCUUCUGUAUCUUCAACAUCUCCCUAUGCACUGAAAUAGCUCUUUCAAAGGACUCUAAUGACCACUUGGGCACAAAGUCAUUUUCUUCAAAAUUUGCUUAACUUUUUACUUUGAAAUAAUUACUGCUUCACAGGAAAUUGCAAAGAUAGUAGAGAGAGGUUCCAUGUACCCUUCACCCAGUUUCCCACAAGGAUAACAUCUUACACAAUUAUAAUACAAUAUCAAGACAGGAAAUUGGCAUUGGUACAGUGUAUGUAGAUAGUUUUAUGUCACUUUAACAUAUGUUUUGAUUCCUGCAACAACCACUGCAAUCAAGAUACUGAACUGUACCAUCACCAUAAAGAACUUCCUCACGCAACCCUUGUAUAAUCUCACUCACCUCCAUUAACCCCAUUAUUCUUAACUCCUUGUAAUCACUAAACUGUUUUCCAUCUCUAUUAUUUUGUGAUUUUGAGAAUGUGAUGUAAAUGGAAUCAUACAGUAUGUGACCUUUUGAGAAUGGCUUUUUUUUACUCAGCAUGAUCCCUUUGAGAUUCAUCCAAGUUGUUAUAUAUAUCAAUAGAUUAGUCAUUUUCAUUGCUGAAUAGUAUUCCAUAAUAUGAAUAUAUGAUGAUUUGCCCAUUCAUCUGCUUUAGGACAUUUUGGUUGUUUUCAGUUUGAGGAUUUCAAAAAGAUUGUUUUAACUAUUCUAGGACCUGUGCCUUUCAUACAAAUGUUGUAAUAAAUUUCUCUAUGUCAACAAUCUUGCUGGGAUUUUGAUAGGGAUUACGUUAAACCUAUCUAACACUUUAAGGAUAAUGUCAUCUUUACUAUGUUAAAUCUUCCAAUCCAUGAACACAGUAUGUCCCUCAAUUUAUAUAUUUUUCCAACAUAUGGUUCUUGCACAUAUUUUGUUAGAAUUACACCUGUGUGCUUAAUUUUCUUUUUUUGAGUGAUUGUAAUGGUAUUUUACUUUGUUUCAUUUUAUUUGCAACUGUUAUUGCUGUCCAGGCAAAUAUUUUAUUUAAAAAUGAACAGAAAAUGGCUGUCAAUAUUCAUACAAAGGUACUGUGGACAAAAUCAGAAAAUUAAAAUAAAAAAAUUUCAGUGAUAAAAAUUUCUUUCCAAAUAAAGCACAAGGCAAAAUAAAAUUGUGAGACAUCACAAAAUAGUAAAAGGUAUUGUAUUUUAAAUUUCAAUUUUUAUGUGUUUUUGCUGUUACAUAGAAAUAAAAUUUAUUUUUGUAGUUGAUAUCAUAUCCUGUGAUGUUGCUAAUUUCACUCAUUAGUUCUAGGAGUUUUUGUACCUUCCUGGGAUUUUUUUAUGUAAACUAUCAUGUCCUCUGCAAAUUGAAACAGUUUUUUUUUUCCAAUUGUUUUUGUCCUGUCCUAUCUGUAUGCCUUUUAUUUCCUCCUUAUUGAACUGUCUAGAACUUCCAGCACUGUGUUGAAUAGCAGCGGCAGAAAUGGAUAUCCUUGCCUUCUUUCAGUCUUUCACCAUUAAAUAUGAUGUUAGCUGCAGGUUUUUUGUAUAUGUUCUUUAUCAACUUAAGGAUGUCUUCUGCUAUUCUCAAUUUGCUGAGAGUUGUUAUCAAAAAUGGGUGUUGAAUUUUGUCAAAUGCUUUUCUGCAUCAAUUGAUAUGAUCGUGUGAUUUUUAUUCUUUGGCCUCUUAAUGUGGUGGAUGGCAUUGAUUAAUUUUCAGAUAUUUAAGCAGCCUUUCAUCCUUAGGAAAAAAAACCCAUUUGUUUCUCUGUUAUUGAUUUCUACUUUGGUUCUGUGCAGCCAUAGAACACACUCUGUAUGAUUUCACUUUAUUUAAAUUUGUUGAGGUUUGUUUUAUGACCUGGGAUGUGUGUUAUCUUGGUAUAUGUUGUUUAAGCAGUUGAAAAUAAUGUGUAUUUUCACCAUAGAAUACUAUGCAGACAUAUAAAAUAAUGAAAUCAUGUUCUUUGCAGCAACAUGGAUACAGCUGGAGGCCAUUAUCCUAAGCAAACUAAUGUAGGAGAAACAGAAAACCAAAUACUGCAUGUUCUCGCUUAUGAAGUAGGAGCUAAACAUUGAAUAUACAUGGACACAAAGAUGAGAACAAUAGACACUGGGGACUGCUUGAGAGGGGAGAGUUGGAGGGGGCAUGGGUUGGAAGUUACUAUGCUCAUUACCUGAGUGAUGGGAUCAUCUGUACACCAAACCUCAGUGACAAGCAAUUUACCCAUGUAACAAACCUGAACAUGUACCCUUAGAACCUAAAAUUAAAGUUGGAGAAGAAAAACAUAAAAAUAAAAAUUAC